This 216-nucleotide long non-coding RNA is filed under the name Elaeis guineensis (African oil palm). Its description in RNAcentral is "long non-coding RNA (EGUI_LNC026796)". Lineage: Eukaryota; Viridiplantae; Streptophyta; Magnoliopsida; Arecales; Arecaceae. The record is from RNAcentral.
GUAUGUGCGGGGGGAGCGUCACGUGUCGUCCCCUUGGAAGGCCCGGAUAAAGAGCCAGGCACGCCUCUUGGUAGCAUAGCAAAUCUUACACGUGCGGGAGGAGCAUCAGGUGUCAUCUCCUUGGAAGGCCCAAAUGGAGGGACGGGGCCUUUCGGCAGCAUAGGAAAUCUCAUACGCGCAGGGGGACCAUCAGGUGACCACCUGUGGGAAAGCCCG